CAGAAUACGUUGAAAUUAAAGAGCUAUGUAUAUCCACUUGCAUACCAUAUUUGUCGAGUAGCCACGCCUAACUUUGCUGACUGUUGACAAAAGUGUUUUCCAAAGUAUACUUCAUGUAAAUCUACGCACAUACAUAUAUAUGUAUAUAAAUCAAUCAUAAUGUGUGACUUUCCAACAAAACUCCUUCAGUGCCCACAAAACCUAUGCAUUAAGUAUGAAUACAUGUCAUUGUUUGACCAUUUUUGUCCGCAUUUUUUCAUUCCUCUAUCCCCAUGGUAACAAAAUUACAUUAACUGGCUCUCAAUAGCAAUCCACGACAUACUUGUAUAGCUCAGAUCAUACAGGAAAGCGACUAACUGUCUUUAAAAACAUGAACGCGAUAUUAAAUAGUGCUUCAAUUAAGAAGUCGACCUAAUAUACAAUAUACAACGUUCGAUUUUUGUUUUCAAAUUCAAAUAAAACAGGGACAUGUGUACCAUUCUUUUGGAAAAGAAAAAUUAUUGAGAAGACGCUAAUAACCUCUUGAAAGUUCCUCGAUUUCAGAUAUAUUGUAUCGAGAUUCGUCACUCAAUUUAUUUGAAUCAAUUAACCAACCAACUUGAUGAUAUUCCAGAAUUCCCACCUCAUUGGAAACUAUUUGGGAAUGUUUAAUUCUGCUUUUGGAAGUUUGUAAAUAUUCAAUUUAAUAUUUAAAUGUGCCUUCUUGCCUGUCCCUGUUGUAAUUGAAAUGUUAAAUAAAUUUUAACGGUUCUCAUCUUUCAAAAGAUUCUGUUAAUGACAGGUUUGAAAUUCGAGCUAAGAAAAUUAAACUUUUUUUAUUAUAUUUAAUUGAUAUAAUAAAAAAUAAUUCAGUUCAAAGUUUAGUGUUAUUUGUUAGAUAUGUAUAUGAUAGAUAAAACUUUAACAUUUAAGAUUUCAAUUAAAUUAUAAUUUUCUGAACUAAAAGAAGACAUAUUGUGUAAAGAAAUAAUUAACCAACUUAUCUGUCCCUAUCUAGCUUAUCUACACGAAAAUAAUUUAUAAAAGGGUGUAAUUUAAUAACAGGUUCGUACAAUAAUACAAAUAUGCAUAUUCAUACAUACAUAUUAAUAUCUUUCCUAACAUAUCCAAACAUAUUGAUUUUUUAAAUUAUUUGUGAUGAAGAAUGUUGUACAUAUGGGGAAACAUACUAAAAAAAAACAAAACUCGUAACUUUUUUUAGGAAUAAAUUGCACUCGGUUCCUGUGGUUAAAAUAAAGCUACAUAUUUUCAUUUUUACAUUAACAUAUUACACACAGUAUCAUAAUGUCUUUGCUUAUUAAGUUCACUAAUGAGUACCUAUGUCUUGAUUUUGUGAUAUUCUUUUAGAAUCUUCUAAAUUGAAACAAACAUCAAAUUGUAACAAUCAUACCAUAAGGUCUUGUACACAAAAAAAAUAUAGGAGUCCGGGAUGUUCGGGCAGUAUAGCCAGUGAUCAGAUUCGACGCAAAAAUGUUGCAGUCCGGGGCCACCAGAUCUGUUCGCCGGGAUAGCUGAAAAAACGUAUAGCUAUAACAGAAGUAUCAGAUGAACUAGCCCGCUUUACAGAGGCAAACUUUCUGCUGGGAUCAGCAGUGGAGCCCUAUAUCAUAAACCAGAAAUUUCAGUUUGAAGAAAGAAAAGAAAAAUACUGAUAUAGAAACCAAACUUGUGCCCUAAACAAAUUAUAAUCCUUCCGAGGUUUGAGAUUACAUUACUCGUACCCUAUACAAAAAUUAGUGUCCGUUACGGUUACGUAGACACGAGUGUGGUGGAAACGGAAAAGGCAGAAUCUUAGUUACCAAUGCUCCUAGAAUGAAUAUUAUAGUAAAAAUAGUCUUAGGAUUUGCAAACGUUUUUUUAAGAGGGCAGGUCGCAGAACAUGCCCCAUUUAUAAUAUACAAUCCAUUGCUAAAUUA
Bactrocera neohumeralis is the source of this 1916-nucleotide long non-coding RNA. RefSeq lists it as uncharacterized. NCBI's taxonomy places the organism in Eukaryota, Metazoa, Arthropoda, Insecta, Diptera, Tephritidae. The transcript is spliced from 2 exons. The record is from RefSeq and is a predicted model, not a curated record.